AUGCAAGUCGAACGCGAAGUCACUUCGGUGGCGAGUAGAGUGGCGGACGGGUGAGUAACGCGUAGGAAUCUGCCUAGUAGUGGGGGACAACUCGGAGAAACUCGAGCUAAUACCGCAUACGCCCUACGGGGGAAAGUGGGGGAUCUUCGGACCUCACGCUAUUGGAUGAGCCUGCGUCGGAUUAGCUAGUUGGUAGGGUAAAGGCCUACCAAGGCGACGAUCCGUAGCUGGUCUGAGAGGACGGCCAGCCACACUGGGACUGAGACACGGCCCAGACUCCUACGGGAGGCAGCAGUGGGGAAUAUUGGACAAUGGGCGCAAGCCUGAUCCAGCAAUGCCGCGUGUGUGAAGAAGGCCUGCGGGUUGUAAAGCACUUUCAAUUGGGAAGAAAAGCUUGAGGUUAAUAGCCUCGGGUCUUGACGUUACCUUUAGAAGAAGCACCGGCUAACUCCGUGCCAGCAGCCGCGGUAAUACG
This 475-nucleotide ribosomal RNA is filed under the name uncultured bacterium. RNAcentral's name for it is "bacterial SSU rRNA". It matches the Rfam family "Bacterial small subunit ribosomal RNA", at positions 55 to 527 of the family's 1533-position model. The record is from RNAcentral.